AAACACGUGAAGCUUCGGGAAGAAGCCAAACAUAAAUUCAAAUUAUACAACCCGUACUCAGCUCCUUUGCUUCUCUACUAGAUUUUCAAAAGUGAAAAAACCCUAUCUUUACAAAUUCAAAAUCGAUAAAUUACCUAACCCAAUCGCUGCACGAGAUAUCAGAUCGAUCGGACCGGUUUUCACCGGUGAAGCUCUGAAGAAGACGAAGAAAAAUACAGAGAUCUGAAGAUUCAUCCUUCGCAAGCUUUAUUACGUUUUAUUGUGAGUUCAAAUUUUAGGAAGCCAUGAUGAUACCGAGAUAAUGUUCAUCAGCUUUUCGUACAAAUUGAACGUGGACAUGGAGAUAUCGAGAUAGUGUUACAGAUGGAUUCGAUGAUAAACACAAAGCUAUUCGGGAAUUGGGUCUGACAGGGGAAAACGAAAUCGUUUAGAAGGAAUCCUAUUGAGUCGAAUUGCAUUUCUAACAUCUGAUUACCAUCAACACCAAUCGAUUUUGCCGCCGAUUUAUGGAAGAAGCUAAUUGCGAUCAUCUUAAACUUGAUGGUUUCACCUCCUUCCAAUCUGAUUGUGGAGGCAAUGUUCGAAGAAGAAGAAAGAUCGAUGGGUCCAACAAAAAGAAUCAUGGUUACUGUAUUGCAGUCGGGCUUUGUACAGAAACUGUUCGAUUAUUUGUCCAAAUGAAAGGAAUUGAUAACAUAUCAUUAUUCUAGUGGAAUGGACUUGGGAAAGAAAAUGAAUCAUGGUACUCAAAACUGUGGAUCUCAAGACUUAGAAAAUCAGCUUAGUAGUUCAAAUGUCUGGUACACAGAUGAGGGCCAAAGCCAGCAACCAUUUCUUCAGUUCAGUCUCCUCUUGCUGCAGAAACACAGGUUCCUGAUUUCCGCGAUGAAGAAAUUAUUAUCUGUAAAGACGGAUAAGCAUACUG
Molecule: long non-coding RNA, 925 nt
Organism: Daucus carota subsp. sativus
Lineage: Eukaryota; Viridiplantae; Streptophyta; Magnoliopsida; Apiales; Apiaceae
Exons: 8
Source: RefSeq, a predicted model, not a curated record